RNAcentral lists this ribosomal RNA (626 nucleotides) under uncultured bacterium. RNAcentral describes it as "bacterial SSU rRNA". It matches the Rfam family "Bacterial small subunit ribosomal RNA", at positions 338 to 955 of the family's 1533-position model. The record is from RNAcentral.
CCUACGGGAGGCAGCAGUGGGGAAUUUUGGACAAUGGGCGAAAGCCUGAUCCAGCAAUGCCGCGUGCAGGAUGAAGGCCUUCGGGUUGUAAACUGCUUUUGUACGGAACGAAACGGUCUUUUCUAAUACAGAGGGCUAAUGACGGUACCGUAAGAAUAAGCACCGGCUAACUACGUGCCAGCAGCCGCGGUAAUACGUAGGGUGCAAGCGUUAAUCGGAAUUACUGGGCGUAAAGCGUGCGCAGGCGGUUAUGUAAGACAGUUGUGAAAUCCCCGGGCUCAACCUGGGAAUUGCAUCUGUGACUGCAUAGCUAGAGUACGGUAGAGGGGGAUGGAAUUCCGCGUGUAGCAGUGAAAUGCGUAGAUAUGCGGAGGAACACCGAUGGCGAAGGCAAUCCCCUGGACCUGUACUGACGCUCAUGCACGAAAGCGUGGGGAGCAAACAGGAUUAGAUACCCUGGUAGUCCACGCCCUAAACGAUGUCAACUGGUUGUUGGGUCUUCACUGACUCAGUAACGAAGCUAACGCGUGAAGUUGACCGCCUGGGGAGUACGGCCGCGAAGGUUGAAACGUCAAAGAGAGUAGUACGCGUGAGAGUAGACGACGACGACGACGAGGGAGGAGGAG